ACACACACACACACACACACACACACACCCCGUACUCAAGACCCCCACGCACACAAGGUUCGAGUAAGUGUCUGUAUCUGACUCGCAUACACUCAUAUACGCAUAGACAGAGAAGCCUUCAUUGCAGCCUUUCACAAAACGGAUUCCCUGGUUCUGGAAGUCACUGCCGGAAGGCACCCACCUUUUUUCCAAUCCCUCAUUAAGGCACAAUCUCCCCCAUCAUCCCUUUCUAUCUCCCAACCUGGUCACCCCGGGAGUGAGGAAAACUCUUAGAAUUUUGGGAGAAAAAGGUACUCAACUAGGGCAUGACUUGCCCCUAAUGAUGGUCCCCCUUCCCUCCCCAGCAUACCUCCCACACAUACCCACUCUCAAUCUCUCCGAAACCUCUCCAAUUAGACACUAUGGGAGCACUGGCCCUUUAAGGCUACUCCUGCCUUCCACCUUCUUUGAGUUAGUGUCCGGGCCCCUGGAUCCGCCCCUUCCCCUCGUGCCCCGCCCCGCCUCUGUCAAUCAUCGGCGGCGCCUUUGAUGUCUGGAGCUUCGAGCUCUCCAGGAGCUCCGGCAGCACUCCGAGUCUCCCGCGCCUCUAGCUGCUACCGCACCUCCAGCCUCUAGUCUGUCCAAUCCUCCCGCUUCCUUGCUCACAGAGUCCGCACUUCUUAGUUCUUUUAACCCUCCCCCAGCCCCGGGGGAGCCGGGCGCCGGCGUGGGCUAAACACGGGUCAACCUCGGCCCUCCCGGGCAGAGGAGCAGAGAAAGGACCCUCCCCACUACCCUCCCCCCCCCCCCGCAAGCCCCGAUAGUGCCCCAGAAGUUUUCCGCAGGCAUUUCAGAGUGGAAAAGUGAGUCCGAGAGGCGGGUGAACUGGAGCCAGAGCCCCGCGGCUCCAGCCCGAUCAUGCCCCAGCUGGGCGGAGGCGGAGGCAGCGGGGACGACCUGGGCGCUACCGACGAGAUGCUAGCCUUCAAGGAUGAGGGCGAGCAGGAGGAGAAGAUUCCCCAGGGAGGUUUCCCCGAGCGGGAUCUGGCUGACCUCAAGUCCUCGCUGGUCAACGAGUCCGAAGGCGCGGGCAGCAGCAGCGGCCAAGCCGGGAGUGGUCCGGGUCAGACAGAGGCGCUCCGGAGAGCUCAGAACUCCCAGAGGCUGUACCAGGACAAAAUCCCAGAUGCCUUGGAAGAAGGCCUCAAGGCCCAGGACAGCAGCAGCAUCGGGAUGUACAAAGAGUCAGUGUAUUCAGGCUACAAUCUGCUGGUGCACUACCCAGGCAACGGAGUAAGUGCUGGAGCUGGAGCCGGAGCUGGGACAGGAGCUGGAGCAGGAACCGGGACUGGAGCUGGAGUAGUCACUGGGGCUGGACAGUCACUGCACAACAAGCCUGGCCAGCCCUCCCAUGGAGUUACCCAGCUCACACCCCUCUAUGAACAUUUCAGCUCUCACCAGACACAUAUCUCUGCUGACAUCAGCCAGAAGCAAGGUGUUCACCGCCCACUACAGACCACUGACAUCUCCAGUUUCUACUCUUUAUCUCCAGGUGGUGUUGGACAGAUCUCCCAUACCAUGGGCUGGGCAAGCCCGCCUCUCUAUCCCCUCUCCCCUUCCUGUGGAUAUAGACAGCACUUUUCGACUGCAGUCUCCCCGGGGGCACCUUACCCUAGGUUCACCCAUCCAUCUCUGAUGCUAAGCUCAGGUAUGCACACCACUGGCAUCCCUCACCCUGCCAUUGUACCCCACUCAGGAAAGCAGGAGCUACAGCAUUAUGACCGGGGCCUGAAACCUCCAUCAGAAACCAAGCAGGAGAAAGAAGCUAAAAAGCCAACCAUUAAAAAGCCCUUGAAUGCAUUCAUGUUGUACAUGAAGGAGAUGCGGGCCAAGGUCAUCGCAGAAUGCACACUCAAAGAGAGCGCAGCCAUUAACCAGAUCCUAGGGAGGAGGUGGCAUGCGCUAUCUCGAGAGGAACAGGCCAAGUAUUACGAACUGGCCCGAAAGGAACGGCAACUCCACAUGCAGCUCUAUCCUGGCUGGUCAGCUCGAGACAAUUAUGGGAAGAAAAAGAGAAGGUCAAGAGAAAAGCAUCAAGAAUCAAACACAGGGGAGAAGGUGAAAGGGCUGGAGGAAUGCCUCUCUACACUCCAGGUUACCAGGGAGAAUGAAGUGUUCCUUGAAAGCCUAGAAGAAGGGCUGCAAGGUAAAACCAAGAAAAAUGAUACAAAGAGGCAAAGGGGGUAUACUGUCCUCAUAAGUUUGGAGAGUAGAAGAAUGCAAUACAAAAAAAGGAAGGGAAGAAUAAUUAGGCUUUGAGGCUUGAGCCUAAUGAACAGACAUGUAGAUUUUCCCAAAAAAGGGGUGGGGGGAAUUGGAGAGGUCUUGUUUUCCAAGGAGUAGUGAUGUAGUACCAGGAAAGAAAUUAUCAAGAUAAUUAGUGGUGAUAGGUGGCUUCUUGCUAAGGAGUCAAGAGGUUGCUAUAUGGGAAUAAGCACAUGACAUAGGGAGAUUUCCAAUGUUUGUCAAAACUUGACCUAUUAUAGUGAUUCAUGUAAAAACCAAUGAUACCACCAAAGGAAUUUAGAAAGCUUGCUAGGAAUUAGGAACUCCUAGGCAAAAAACUAAAGGAGCUUAGGGCUUUAGCGUAGUACUUUGAUCAUUACUUCCAGUGGAAAGUGGAGGUUUCUAAAGAGAAAGACUGACUUAGGAAAUGAAUGUCUGAGAACAGGAUCAGGAUUUUAGGACUAUAGUUAACAAUAGAGGUAUUAUGAGUCUUGGUCUAACAAGGGUGGUAAUAUUAUAUUUGUCUGGAAUCAAGAGGAAUUUAAGUUAAAACAUGGAGCAGGAAAGGGAAAAUUACUCUAAUCUUUCAAGGCUUUGUUGAGUAGCAGGUGCAACACAGGAAGACAGAAGCCAGCUAAAUAAAUUCAUCACCUUAGAUGUCUAUACACAAAUGCACUGAAAUAGAGAUCCUAACUAAAGGAGGCAAAUUUGGCUUUGUUGAUAUCACUAAGAUUUGAAGGGAUAGUUCUAGAAAAAAUAGAAUUAAUUAAAAACAGAUCAAAAACCUUGCAGAGAGGCAAAAUUGUAAUUAAUAGUGACAGAGACUUAAAUUAUCCAGAUUUUUUUUUUACCGAAGUUCUCUCUGCAAUUAUGAUUUGCUUUAAUAAUAAAUUGAUUUUAGAAAUGAUAUAAAUAAUCUAGGACGUGUUCAGAAAAGCAUGGUGAAAAACUAGAAAUAGUGUCAUUUCUCAAAAAAGAUCAAUUUUUUCCAUGUAACACUGGGAAUGUCCAACCUGGAGAUAAGACCAUUAAUUCUUAAGUACCUGAAGGGCUAGCCCUGUGGCACAAGAACUGAUUUGUUUUCUUGGACCUCAGGUGCAGAAGUAGAAAUAAUUGGAGGGAAGAAGAAUUUGUUCAGAAUCAAAUUUCGACUUUCCUAAUAAGAUCUGUCCAAAAGUGGAAAUGACCACCACUACCUGAAAGUCACCCUCCCACCCAUGGGAAGGUUUCAAAUAAAAGCUGAAUGGCCAUUUGUUAAGGGUGUUGUAGAAAGGAUUCUUGUUCAUCUAGAUAACUUCUGAGGUCCAUUCUGAUAUGCUUUGAUUCUCUCUAAUCCCUUUAUUUUACAAAGCAGAAAACUGAGGAAAGAGAAAGAGUUUUGCUCAAAGAGUUACAUAGGAAGUAGUGGAGUCAAGAUUUGAAUACAGGUCAACCGUGCUCAGUAUAUCAUGUUAUAUUAAAAGCACAGAGAUAUCUGCUCUUCUUAGUCCAAAUGAAAGCAAGACUCAUCUGACCCCUGUCCAGAGGGGGUGAAAACCACUGAUCUUUUAUACUCUUGGCACCAGGGAAAUGGGCUCAGAGAUUAUGCCCAGUGAGAAGGAAAGGACUAGAAAUUAUAGACUACAGGUUAAGGCCUCCCACCCCUUUUCUCUGCUGUCCUGCUUGAGGCUCUGCUUUGCCUUACAGACUAACCUCAUUUUUUUCAACUCAGGUUUCCUGCUGGAGUGAUACUGCUUUUGCAAAAUGGAUGUGUAUGGUCUAGGUUUUUAUAUUUUUAUGAGUGGCUAAAAUAGAUGUUUGCCUCUUCUCUCCUACUCCUUCCCACCUUUUUCUCUCUCCUGCCCCAUUCCCAUUGCCUUUCUGCCUGCUCUCCAAAUUUGCCUCACCCUCGCAUGCUUGUGUGGGCAGACCCUGGCUCUCCUAAGAAAUGUCGAGCUCGCUUUGGCCUCAACCAGCAGACGGACUGGUGCGGUCCAUGCAGGAGGAAAAAGAAAUGCAUUCGGUACUUACAAGGAGAAGGAGAAGGACGCUGCACCAGCCCAGUUUCUUCAGAUGGCAGUGCUAUAGACUCCCCUCCAU
RNA transcript from Antechinus flavipes (yellow-footed antechinus), 4344 nucleotides. It is a transcript of the gene named transcription factor 7, with no coding region annotated. The transcript has 12 exons. Lineage: Eukaryota; Metazoa; Chordata; Mammalia; Dasyuromorphia; Dasyuridae. The record is from RefSeq and is a predicted model, not a curated record.